Long non-coding RNA from Triticum aestivum (bread wheat), 5050 nucleotides. RefSeq lists it as uncharacterized. Lineage: Eukaryota; Viridiplantae; Streptophyta; Magnoliopsida; Poales; Poaceae. The transcript is spliced from 8 exons. The record is from RefSeq and is a predicted model, not a curated record.
AAAAAAACCCGCCCCACAGGAAAAUGAAGGAAAACCGGAUCAACUCCCCUCCUCUCGAUCCCCUCCAUCUUCGUGACGUACGAAGCCGCACGAGAUCGCCCCCGCUGACGACCUCAUAGAGAAGACGCUGCGAUCUCUUGCGAUCUCGCCGCCACCGGGAUCGGCGUCUGUCGCCACCACCGACCUCCGGGAUUGGCAUCUCUCGCUACCGCCGAGGUACGGGAUCCCGCAUCAUACCAGAGAGACACUGUCUACGGAGUCCGGGAUCGACGCCGCGGACGUAAGGGAUCACCGUCGCCGACCUUCCAGACGAGAUGUCGCCGCCGCCGACCUCUGAGGGGAGACGCCGCCGCCACCUGUGGUAAACCCUAGGACAGGGCGGUUUCAACUUUCAACCCCAGGGCAGGCCGACAACUUGUCGAUUUGUUGUUCUUCCCUUAUAAGCAUGGUCUCAACAAUGGUGCCUUCACCCUUGCUUGUGCCUCUACCCACGUGGUCAUCUUUGAGACGUGGUAUUCAUUCACAUGACAGAGUUCUCUUUAUCCUUGAGGAUAGGUGCGGUAACUAGCGACACAUGCUGGAGCUUCUAGCGGCGGCAUUACCUGUAUCCACCUCUCCCUGGUCGCCUUUAAGAGUGUGUGCGGCCGACCGUUAAGCUUGUCAUGACGCUCUUUGAAUUUCUGGGCAAGUCGCAGCCUUUUCAGAUUCAUCAACACAAGUUACAUCAGUAGUCAAUAUGGUUCAGAUGCAUAAUAUUGCGGGGUGGAAGUUGUCGAUGUUGUUCAAUUGUAUGCUGCCCCUUGAGGGGAAGUCGUGCGUGCGCCCAGUGAGGAGAAGCGGCAAGGGCUCCAGGUGUGAGAGGCUGAAGCUCGGGGACGACGACAUCAUGCACAAGAGGGCAUAUAGGAGGUUGUCCGAAUUCAUGUUCCUCAUGCUCUGAAGGACCAAAGGGAUUUGGGUGGUCAACUCUGAAACUUGGAAUUGUCGUUUCUUUUCUGAAAAAUCUGAACUUCUGCAUAUGUCUCACCCCUGAACUUUGCCGCUUGACUUGAUUGUGCCCAGUUAAAAUGGAUGAGAAGGCCCGUCUAGGUGUACUCGUGUCACAUGUGUAAGAUUGUCAAAAAUUGAUUUUUUUGUGUGUGGUCUCUUUACUCCCCCGCCUACCUCAAUGGCAGAUGUGAAGAACCACCUCAAUCAGAUGUGCUUUGCCGCGUCAUGCUAGAACUAUAAUUGCCGGCUGCCGUGCAAAACCAUCUUUGGCGAUCAAGCUGGAGCCAUCAUUGACCACGACCGUGCCAGGAGCACCGGGGAAAAGGCGAGGACAUGUUGGUACUGAUGGAAUAAUGUGGAUUGGGUCGUCCUCCUCCAGAAACAUAUUACACAAUAUACUUAAGUCGAUUGAUCCUAUUCGGUAAAAAUGCCCCUCAUUUGCUUGAUUAAACUCUACCUUGGUAAAAUUAAUUGAGUUGGGAACAGUAACAUAUAUACAUCUGCUAUGUCUGGUAUCUAUCUGGUUAUAUUAAACUGACAGUUUAUUCUUCUUGCUGGAAGGAUAUGUCGUGAAAAAUGAUCCAGAUGCUAUUAAAGUUGUAACCUUUGACUGUCCAUGUGAGUUAAUUCUAUGAACAAUACUACUAAUCCUUGACCUAUGUCCACUUAAUGGUCCUCUCACCUUGAAUCAUAUCAAUCUGCUAUCAAUGCCAAAGACUUAGCUUCGAUUGCUCACCACCCGCUUAAAUCUAUUUUUUUGAACACCUCAAUCUUUCCUGAUUUUUUUGACACACUGAGCAGCAUCGCAAGUUAAUUCAAGGAAUUGUUCUUCUAAACAUGUAUUCUUUCCUGUCCACGAAAUGUAAUGCUUUGUACGAAACAAUCAGCCUUAAAAACAAAUUAGUAUUGAUGUUCUUUUAAAUAUUUAAGUCGGAAACUUGAAACUUAUAUGUGUUAAACUGUGUUGAAAAGUAAUCCAAAAAUAUUACAUUUUUGCUAAGAAUUGGUAUAAAAAAAAUUAGAAAUACAGAAGUAAUAUGUAGAAGGUGGUACCCUAGAGAGAUGUGUAUGUUUAAUUGUGAUAUUUUUAGGAGUACCUUUGUGGAUCUGAUAUAUCUUUCUUUUGUAGGAUAUGGUUGCUCUUGCUUCAUCUAAAUAGUACGUCUGGACUGCCAUGAGACCGCGAUUGGUGUAGGAAAUCUUAAAAGCUAUCAUAUUGGUCACAAGAACUUGCAAUACAUCAAUGCACUAUUCUUUUGAAUUUUUUAGUGACACCACAACUACCACCUCUUCACUAAAUGACAGAGGUUGCUAGCAACUGCACUUGGAAAGAUUGAAUUUAGAGGUAUGUUUCCUGUAUCAAGUGCAUGUCAAGGGUUGAUAAGAUACUUAAAGAAUCAAUUCGUACAACAUUAUUCACUGGAGGUAGCAUCACGAUGACACAUAAUUAAGGGCUCAUAUUAAUUGGGAGUGUCUAAAAAUUUACUGGCUAUUCUGAUGUUCCAUAAAUCGUUAGUUUACUGAAAAAGGAAGGAGCUACCAUCGUGCUUUGAUUGUGUUCAUCCUGGACUAAUCAUGAUCAAUUUGAUGAGCUCUCCUUUGCUCUGAUGAGUAAGCUCUCGAGCUAAUUCUUUCUUCUGAAUAUUUUGGUUACUCCCUCUGUUCGGAAAAACUUGUCACAAGCUUGUCCCUCAAAUGGAUGUAUCUAGCACUAACUUGGUGCUAGAUACAUCCAUUUAAGGGAUAAGCUUUUCCGGACGGAGGGAGUAAAUGUCAAGUUUAAGCUAUAGAACAGUUUCAUGCCUUUAUUUCUCCACAACAUUAUGAAUUAUUAUUUUCACCUGUAGACUGUACCCCAAAUUCUUCCAUACUCUAAUGAUCUUGUGUUCAAGUAAGUAAUAUCUAUCAUUGUAUAAAAUCUUCUGAAUUUAACUGUAUCUAAAAGAAGAUGUUUUUUGGUUUUCUAGGGAGCAUCAACUACAUGUUAUGUCAGGCUUGACCAUAUCAGGUGAAGGGAGUGACAAGCAAGUACUUUGUUGACAAUGAGGAGAAGACAAGCAAUAUGGUAAAGAGCGACUCAUUGGCGAAGCAACUUUAUUAAUUGAUUGAAGUGGUUGAUGCCGUAAUUUUCACAUCCUAUUUUUCUUGGUUGUAGAAAAGAUAACCAUGUACACAACAGAGAGAAAAUGUUGACUAUUCUUCGCAUCCUACCUAUUGAUCCUUGAGGUCAGGUCCGGCAUUACCUAUAUGGACCUCUCCCUGGUCGCCUUCAAGAGUGUGUGCGGGCUUGCCCGGCGACAGGAAAAGCACAAGCUUCAGAGCCACAAUCACCGGCUGCACCGCGGGCUUUCCCGGCGACAGCGUCUCCUAUGGUGGUGAGGAGGGAGGGAGGGUUAGGCUGCCGGGAGGGGCGGCGCGUGGGAGGGAGGCUGUGUCCACAUGUGCAAACAGGUGAACUAAUAAAGGAAGACUUCUUCCAUAAAUAGUAGUACAUUUACUAUGCAGAUGAUUUGACAAAAAGAUGGCCCUGCUCAUCGGGCUCAAGCAGCAGCGAGCAAGGCCAGCGACAACGGAAAUGUUGUGGCUGGCGCCCAUGCACCUCUACCUGACUUCAAUGCACCUUUGUGUUUUGUGAGUAUAUAGAGAUAAUAAUACGCAGAUUCAGUUAUCUAUAUGCAGAAAGUUUCCUUGUUUUCUUUUAGUAAUUAUGUAGAACAUCAAUAUUCAAUAUUAGAUGACACAUAGGCCACAUCAUCCAGUAAAUGUGUUAAUCAUAAUAAAUCAUGGACGGUUGCUGACAUUGGAUAUUCAUAGAAUGCUAAUAAGUUACAUCCUCGAGUAAUAUGAGAGUAUUUAGAUUUUGGUGGAGCUAAACUAUACAACAUGAUGCACAAAUUCUUGUUGAUUGCAGCAUUUUAAAAUGUCGACAAUUCCCAGGUUUGCAUUUAUUUGGUGGUGUGCCUGUGGAACUUUGUGAGAACUUGAGUAUUACGAGUAUACCAUUUCUGUAGGUAAUCAUUUUCCAACAACCUGAUGGUUUGUGCAGACCAUCAGGUACAUAAUAGCAAUAUCUUAACUAUUUUAAUAUUCUUUACGAACCAUCGUCAAAGAAUACAAGAUAUACUUAUUGUUAGUUCUUCGUUGACACCUACUGUUCUUACUGAACUGUAAUUGUUAACAAUAUGUAGUACUGUAGGAUUAAUGGACAGAAGGUUCUGUUGUCCAGUUGAUGCUACUAAUUUUGGCCCUACCAAAGUAUCUCUUCUGCAUGAUAUAUACUUAUUGUUAGUUCUUCGUUGACACCUACUAUUCUUACUGAACUGUAAUUGUUAACAAUAUGUAGUACUGUGGGAUCAAUGGACGUAAGGUUCUGUUGUCCAGUUGAUGCUACUAAUUUUGGCCCUACCAAAGUAUCUCUUUUGCAUGAUAUCUUCUUAAAUAUGAAAAUGAGGAAGUCAGUAUCUCGGCAGCAUGCAGGCAACUUAGCCAAUGAUGUAGGAGGAUCCAGUUCUUUUGGAGUCAAAUUUUUGGACUGGUAGUGUAUAUUCUGAAUUAUUUUGUAAACAAAUGUGAGGAGUGGGAGACGUCUGCAGUUGUAAAAUUUACUUGUGCGGGUGGAGGUUCUGGUUUUAAGAUCGUAUUGUUAUUUAUCAUUUUCCGUUGUAAUUGUUUACUAAUUAUGACAUGCUUUUUCUUUCUUCUGGGUAUGAACCAUUAUUUUUGGAUUCACUGGAACAAGAUGGAAGAGCUAACAGUUGUUUUACACCAGUACAAAUGCUCUUCAGAGGUGGGGGCAUUAAAGAGUAGAUGAACUGGGCUGAGGCCCUCGUGGCUACGCUCGAAGUUGAGAACAACAAGGAGAUGGGGAUGAAUGGAGCGGUCUUAAAGGAGAAACUACAACAUUUUGCUAUCAUUUUUUUACUGAUUUGUUGAAAUGUUAAAAUGUGGAUGUUGUAAGUCCAUGAUAUGAAGUUUGUGUUUGAGUCAAGUACUAUUGUGCGCAUGGAUCUUCUUAUGCUGACCAUCUUGAAAUGGAGAUUGCAGGCCUUGUCUCAGUUUA